CCGAGACCCAGAGUCUUCUAUAAAUACCAUUUUGGCCCAGAAUAUUCUGGGGGUUCUCUGGGAGUUUGAAAAUAGCCCACUGGUUACUAUCUAUACUCGGAGGGCCCACUCCUGGCCUCCACUGGGUGGCUAAGUAUAGCUCCCUGGCAAAGUUCAGUGGAACAAAAGUUUCCAAUCUCCAUCACCUUGUGCACGAGGAGCCCUGUGGGGAGGGCGCCCGGCUGCUGAGGCUCAGGGGCACGUGGGAGAGGCUGGAGCUGACAGGGGUCUGCCCGGGGUCCUGCAGGCAAACGCAGAGACCUUGCCCGAUCUGGACGGAGGCCUCUGGCCCCAGCCCGCAGCUCUGCUGGGCAGGAUCCACCACAAAGCCCUGAUUUCUGCUCUGGCCUCUGUUCUAGGAUUCAGGAGGGACCUGGGAGGCUGAACAGCAGCAGAAAUAAGAUGUAACUGCCAACUCUAGGGAGACCUGUAACCUUUAACCCCCUGGACGCUAUGUCCGACCGCCAAGUGCACCUCUCCUCCCAGCUGCCCCCGCCCAACCCGCUGAGCUGCCCGAGAGCUGGCAUGGCCGGCAGAGCGCUGGGGAGGGCAGAAGGGGCGGAGCAGAGCUGGGCAUGCUCACCUACGGCACAGCUGAGCUCGCAGGGACGGCGCAGCCAAGACUCGGCACGUUUCCAAAGAGCCACUUGAUCCAAAAGCGGUCACAGCAUGUCCCUCCCACACAGCGGUCCCCUUCCCACGCACCCACCAAAGCCCCACGUGGAGCAGUGGCAGCAGGGCCGGGCACCGGCACCGCAGGGCCACGCUGAGGAGGCUCGCGAAGACGCAGCACAGUCCUCACCAAAACGGUUCCAGGAAACAGCCAUUGUCACAAGACGCUAACGUGGGAUGGGCUCGUUACAGCCUUUAAGUCUUGCAUCGCCCGUCCUCAGACACGAUCCCGAGCUGCGCUGGACGCAGCUCACCUCAGUUCCAAAAAUGAAGGCAGAUACUUUCGCAGAAGCGGUCGGCAAAGACGGCGCCUCUGACGCCCAGAGCCAGCCACCCUCAGACAACAGCGAGGACCCGGCUCCCGCCCUCCCUGGGCCCUCAGUUCAAACCAGCCACCCACCUGGGCCUCAGACACAAGGUCCGCAUCGUCCGGCCACAGCCCCUGCACGUCCAUCAGCGUCCGUGCUGGACGAGCACCAGUGACACUGUCGCCCCGAGCAACGGGCCAGACGCUUCUGCCCCUUCCUAGUCCAAUGACCCCUCCCUAGGAACCGCUGACCUGCCUUCUGCCACUAUGCAUCAGGCGGCAUCUCCCAGAAUUCUUACGAGUGGAAUCCGCCAGGACCUCUUUCCCUCCGUCUCUUGCCCUGGGCCCUCAACGUGCCCCACGCUCUGUUCCCAUCUCACUCCUCCGGGCCUCAGACUCUGCUCACUGCCUUCUGCUGUGGGUCCCCAUCUUCCGCACAGACCACCACAGUCCACAGACAGCAUGUCACAACAGAUGACCAGCGCUCCAGACCGUCAGCUCUGCAGAUGAUCACUGACGCAGACUGAGUCUGCACAUGGCCGACACCACGAGCUUCCCUAACCGACAACUGGUGAGACUACACACGACCGCCGACAGUGCCGCCGUCCACCCCAGCCCACGCCACAGCAGAGGGCAAGGUCACAGACCACCACGGUGGCCUGUCGGAGGUCCCCCCACGUGCAGACAGUCCUUGUUCCAACUCGUCCUCGUCACUGAUGACCUCUGCUCUCCAGACACAGUGACAUCGUGUCAUUCUCCAAACAGCCCCCAUGCUGGGGGGACCUCAGCCCUUGUCAGCAUCUUCAGACAACUUGCUACUGUCAGCUGUGCAUUCUGCGCGCUCCCUGCUGUGCUGCAGUUCCAGCUCCACAAGGAGUUUGCCCCGACACAGUGCCUGCUGGAGGGGUUCCCAAAAAAGGUCUGGGAAUGGGCAGAGCGGCACACACAACUUCAGCACAAUUUAGGACUCAGAAGGCUCCAGAACCUUCCACUGGGUGAUUACAGAGAGUGACUUGGCUCCUCCCUGAAGAGGGAGCCAGGGGAAGGGACCCUGAAGGCUGAAAGGACGCAGACCAAGUUGACCUCCCCCAGAGCCCCGUUUCCCCACACAUCUAUCUCUCCACUCCUGCUACCAACCCCGCUACCCUCCCCUCCUCACUCUCCCAGACGCUCGCAGGUCCUCUGCAGCUGUGUCGCCUCGAUGCCAAAUCCAUCCUGUGAGGAAGUCGGCGUGAGAAGGGCGACGCUCGGAUGCGUGCAGGGCUGGGCAGGGACAAGGCCACAGGCAACAGGCCCAUCCAUCUCCGUGCCCCGCGAGUGGAUGCCAGGGGAGGAUGCCCUGGGGACGGGGGGUGGCUGGUCCGAGUUCUCCAAAUGAGGGUCAGGGGCUGGGGCUUCAUUUUCUGGUGCUCCAAGUGACCACAUGAACCUGUAUUCUUUUACGUUCAUUAAGCAUUUCUUAAUUAAAAGGAAGACUUUUGCAAAAAAAACUAUCGCCCUGGAGAAGAAGAGGUCAAGAAGAAAUUGGGAGGGGGGCGCCCCUUGCAGCUACGCCUGGGACGUGGUCCAGCCCAAGUGGGGACUGGACUGUCCUCCCUGCGGACACAGCCAGCCCUCAGCUUGGGGCCACUCCACCCAGAUCCAGUCUCUCUAGAUGGGGAUGACUGGGCAGCCUGGGCAGUUCCUGGGUCCUGAGAGGCCAAGCAAGGUGAUGCAAAGCUGGGCUCAGGAUGUGACUUGGGACCAUUAUGUUUCAGAGCAGGGUCUACAAGCCAGGGCCCAGACCUAGCCCUGCACCCCUGUGUUUGGGCAGCUCAAGAGCUGAGAGUGAUUGUCUGGUAAGAAAACCAAACUGCAUGGCAGUGUUAUCCACAGUGGUCAAAAGGCAGAAGCAACCCAGUGUCCACUGAUGGAUGAAACGUGGUCCAUCCAUGGAACGGAACAUCACUCAGCCGCAGAAGUCCUGACGCACUGAGUGGACGAACCACGAGGACGUGAUGCUCGGGGAGAUGCCAGACACAGACAGACAAAUCCUGCGAUUCCACUUAUAUGGGGACCUGGAGGAGUCAGGUUCACAGACACAGGGAGCAGACGGCGGGGGCGGGGCUGGGGGCGUCUGUGCUCAGUGGGGACAGAGUCUCAGUGUAAGAAGAUGAGAAGGUUCCAGAGGCUUGGUGGUGAAGGCGGCACGACACCCGGAACGCUGUUACAGAUGCUUCCCCUCUG
Non-coding RNA from Vicugna pacos (alpaca), 3244 nucleotides. Lineage: Eukaryota; Metazoa; Chordata; Mammalia; Artiodactyla; Camelidae. The record is from RefSeq and is a predicted model, not a curated record.